AGAUUGAACGCUGGCGGCAUGCCUAACACAUGCAAGUCGAACGGGAGUAGCAAUACUCUAGUGGCGGACGGGUGAGGAAUACGUAGGAAUUUGCCCUUAAGUGGGGGAUAACCCGGGGAAACCCGGAUUAAUACCGCAUGACCUCGAAAGAGCAAAGUGGGGGAUCGCAAGACCUCACGCUUUUGGAGAAGCCUACGUCGGAUUAGCUAGUUGGUGAGGUAAUGGCUCACCAAGGCGACGAUCCGUAACUGGUCUGAGAGGAUGAUCAGUCACACCGGAACUGAGACACGGUCCGGACUCCUACGGGAGCAGCAGUGGGAAUAUUGGACAAUGGGCGCAAGCCUGACUCCAGCAAUACCGCGUGUGUGAAGAAGGUCCUUAGGUUGUAAAGUCUAACGUUUAAGGUUGGGAAA
This 413-nucleotide ribosomal RNA is filed under the name uncultured soil bacterium. RNAcentral's name for it is "bacterial SSU rRNA". It matches the Rfam family "Bacterial small subunit ribosomal RNA", at positions 26 to 447 of the family's 1533-position model. The record is from RNAcentral.